GCAACCAAUCUCUUCGUCGCAACCCAUCUUUGAUGCACAUGCACCCUCUUACACCGAAAAAGGCUACUUCUGACACAAAAUCGACCCUGUGCAUACCCUGUGAUACCAACCCCUGUAAAAAGGUUUUAAGUGGUGUAAAAAUAAACUAAACGGCACGCAGUGACAUCAUCCUGUAUCCUCUCCUACGACAGACACGCUUAACAGCGUACAGUAAACACAGCAAAAGCACGAUAAGUUCCGAUGUGAACCAUUAAGGAACUAAUUGGAAGUAGAUGAUCUGAAAUGAAAUUUGAAUGCUCAGCUGCUUCACAUGGUGCACGCGCUAAUGAAGAGUUCCUCUGUUUACUAGGACACGUAUUUACCCCGCACUUUUUAUUGGCUUCUCUCACGCGACAGCUGCACAAAAAAAAGCCACCUUUUCAAAAUCUGCGUGGAUGAUCAGCUUCCUCCCUCUCCCUCUCUCUCGUGUUCGGAAUCAGGAGGAGAAUACACACGGACAGACUGGAGUCGACUAUGAUGAAAAUUAGAGCAGGACAGGAUGUGAAAGCAAAUGCCCUGUUGGUAUGAAGCAGAGCCUCCACUCAUCACAGCAGAGGGGAAAGUUCCAGAGAGACUGAGGAAAAAAAAAAGAAGAGUAGGAGAGAGAGACAGAACAGGAGAGAAAUAGCUGGCUGCCAGGGAGAGAACGAG
Long non-coding RNA from Ictalurus punctatus (channel catfish), 690 nucleotides. NCBI's taxonomy places the organism in Eukaryota, Metazoa, Chordata, Actinopteri, Siluriformes, Ictaluridae. The record is from Ensembl.